This 592-nucleotide ribosomal RNA is filed under the name uncultured Burkholderia sp. RNAcentral's name for it is "bacterial SSU rRNA". It matches the Rfam family "Bacterial small subunit ribosomal RNA", at positions 418 to 1003 of the family's 1533-position model. The record is from RNAcentral. Lineage: Bacteria; Pseudomonadati; Pseudomonadota; Betaproteobacteria; Burkholderiales; Burkholderiaceae.
UCGGGUUGUAAAGCACUUUUGUCCGGAAAGAAAACGCUCUGGUUAAUACCCGGGGCGGAUGACGGUACCGGAAGAAUAAGCACCGGCUAACUACGUGCCAGCGGCCGCGGUAAUACGUAGGGUGCAAGCGUUAAUCGGAAUUACUGGGCGUAAAGCGUGCGCAGGCGGUCCGCUAAGACAGAUGUGAAAUCCCCGGGCUUAACCUGGGAACUGCAUUUGUGACUGGCGGGCUAGAGUAUGGCAGAGGGGGGUAGAAUUCCACGUGUAGCAGUGAAAUGCGUAGAGAUGUGGAGGAAUACCGAUGGCGAAGGCAGCCCCCUGGGCCAAUACUGACGCUCAUGCACGAAAGCGUGGGGAGCAAGCAGGAUUAGAUACCCUGGUAGUCCACGCCCUAAACGAUGCCAACUAGUUGUCGGGUCUUCAUUGACUUGGUAACGAAGCUAACGCGUGAAGUUGACCGCCUGGGGAGUACGGUCGCAAGAUUAAAACUCAAAGGAAUUGACGGGGACCCGCACAAGCGGUGGAUGAUGUGGAUUAAUUCGAUGCAACGCGAAAAACCUUACCUACCCUUGACAUGGUCGGAACCCUGCUG